UACGUAGGGUGCGAGCGUUGUCCGGAAUUAUUGGGCGUAAAGAGCUCGUAGGCGGUGUGUCACGUCGGCCGUGAAAACCUGCAGCUUAACUGUGGGCGUGCGGUCGAUACGGGCAUGACUGGAGUUCGGCAGGGGAGACUGGAAUUCCUGGUGUAGCGGUGAAAUGCGCAGAUAUCAGGAGGAACACCGGUGGCGAAGGCGGGUCUCUGGACGGUUUCUGACACUAAGACACGAAAGCGUGGGGAGCAAACAGG
Molecule: ribosomal RNA, 254 nt
Filed under: uncultured bacterium
Lineage: Bacteria
Description: partial 16S ribosomal RNA
Rfam family: Bacterial small subunit ribosomal RNA
Source: RNAcentral